UACGUAGGGUGCGAGCGUUAAUCGGAAUUACUGGGCGUAAAGCGUGCGCAGGCGGUUUUGUAAGUCAGAUGUGAAAUCCCUGAGCUCAACUUAGGAACUGCGUUUGAAACUACAAGACUAGAAUAUGUCAGAGGGGGGUAGAAUUCCACGUGUAGCAGUGAAAUGCGUAGAGAUGUGGAGGAAUACCAAUGGCGAAGGCAGCCCCCUGGGAUAAUAUUGACGCUCAUGCACGAAAGCGUGGGGAGCAAACAGG
This 253-nucleotide ribosomal RNA is filed under the name uncultured bacterium. RNAcentral's name for it is "partial 16S ribosomal RNA". It matches the Rfam family "Bacterial small subunit ribosomal RNA", at positions 524 to 776 of the family's 1533-position model. The record is from RNAcentral.